CGGGGGGAGCAAGCGUUGUUCGGAUUUACUGGGCGUAAAGGGCGCGUAGGCGGCCACCGCAAGUCGACUGUGAAAUCUCCGGGCUUAACCCGGAACGGUCAGCCGAUACUGCGGGGCUAGAGUGCAGAAGGGGCAACUGGAAUUCUCGGUGUAGCAGUGAAAUGCGUAGAUAUCAUGAGGAAUACCAGAGGCGAAGGCGGCUACCUGGACAAUUGCUGACGCUCAGGCACGAAAGCGUGGGGAGCAAAAGGGAUUAGAUACCCCUGUAGUCCACGCCCUAAACGGUGCACACUAGGUCUUGGCGGAUUCGACCCCCCAGGGCCCCAGCUAACGCGUUAAGUGUGCCGCCUGAGGACUACGGCCGCAAGGCUA
Molecule: ribosomal RNA, 372 nt
Filed under: uncultured organism
Description: bacterial SSU rRNA
Rfam family: Bacterial small subunit ribosomal RNA
Source: RNAcentral